CUUUGUAUUUAUUGAACAAAAAACCACUAACAUUAAAACGUAUAAAGUAAAUACUCGUUGCUUUGAAGGUGCGUGGACACUAAUAGCAAGUUCCAUCCAAGUUGCUCUGUUUUAAGGUAUCCCCACUUUAUGAGGCUGCGCUGCCUUCUAAUAUAACCCCAUUAUCAACUCUUUGAAAUAUUAAUUAUAUUACACCUUUCCUCACCAA
This 208-nucleotide long non-coding RNA is filed under the name Arabidopsis lyrata. Its description in RNAcentral is "long non-coding RNA (ALYR_LNC001811)". The record is from RNAcentral. Lineage: Eukaryota; Viridiplantae; Streptophyta; Magnoliopsida; Brassicales; Brassicaceae.